AGCUGGUCUGAGUGCAGUGGUGUUUACAACUAAUUGUCACAACCAGUUGCAGAUGUCUUUGUUUCAUUUUGUUUUGUUUUGUUUUCUCCACUCCCACUGCUUCACCUGAUUAGCCCUUU
Y RNA from Pongo abelii (Sumatran orangutan), 119 nucleotides. It matches the Rfam family "Y RNA". From Rfam's summary of the family: Y RNAs are components of the Ro ribonucleoprotein particle (Ro RNP), in association with Ro60 and La proteins. The record is from Ensembl. NCBI's taxonomy places the organism in Eukaryota, Metazoa, Chordata, Mammalia, Primates, Hominidae.